This 390-nucleotide ribosomal RNA is filed under the name uncultured bacterium. RNAcentral describes it as "bacterial SSU rRNA". It matches the Rfam family "Bacterial small subunit ribosomal RNA", at positions 135 to 518 of the family's 1533-position model. The record is from RNAcentral.
AGAGGGGAAUAACCCGGCGAAAGUCGGACUAAUACCGCAGUAAAACAGGGGGCACCGCAAUGGUGAUAUUUGGUUAAAGAAAUUCGCUGAUAGAUGGGCAUGCGUUCCAUUAGGUAGUUGGUGAGGUAACGGCUCACCAAGCCGACGAUGGAUAGGGGAACUGAGAGGUUGGUCCCCCCACACUGGUACUGAGACACGGACCAGACUCCUACGGGAGGCAGCAGUGAGGAAUAUUGGUCAAUGGGCGGGGAGCCUGAACCAGCCAAGUCGCGUGAAGGAAGAAGGAUCUAUGGUUCGUAAACUUCUUUGCAGGGGAAUAAAGUGCAGGACGUGUCCUGUUUUGUAUGUACCCUGAGAAUAAGGAUCGGCUAACUCCGUGCCAGCAGCAGC